CCUACGGGGUGCUGCAGUGAGGAAUAUUGGUCAAUGGACGAGAGUCUGAACCAGCCAAGUAGCGUGAAGGAUGACUGCCCUAUGGGUUGUAAACUUCUUUUAUAUGGGAAUAAAAUGUUCCACGUGUGGGAUUUUGUAUGUACCAUAUGAAUAAGGAUCGGCUAACUCCGUGCCAGCAGCCGCGGUAAUACGGAGGAUCCGAGCGUUAUCUGGAUUUAUUGGGUUUAAAGGGAGCGUAGGUGGAUUGUUAAGUCAGUUGUGAAAGUUUGCGGCUCAACCGUAAAAUUGCAGUUGAAACUGGCAGUCUUGAGUACAGUAGAGGUGGGCGGAAUUCGUGGUGUAGCGGUGAAAUGCUUAGAUAUCACGAAGAACUCCGAUUGCGAAGGCAGUUCACUGGACUGCAACUGACACUGAGGCUCGAAAGUGUGGGUAUCAAACAGGAUUAGAUACCCUUGUAGUC
RNAcentral lists this ribosomal RNA (460 nucleotides) under uncultured bacterium. RNAcentral describes it as "partial 16S ribosomal RNA". It matches the Rfam family "Bacterial small subunit ribosomal RNA", at positions 338 to 795 of the family's 1533-position model. The record is from RNAcentral.